Pan troglodytes (chimpanzee) is the source of this 1523-nucleotide long non-coding RNA. RefSeq lists it as uncharacterized. The record is from RefSeq and is a predicted model, not a curated record. Lineage: Eukaryota; Metazoa; Chordata; Mammalia; Primates; Hominidae. The transcript is spliced from 2 exons.
UUUCAAAAUUGUCUUUCCUCGUGCCUGACUUUUGAAUGCUACAGAGGGCCCCUGGAGUAUCCAAAAGAGAGGUAAACUGGAUUAUUUGACAUAUUUAGUUACAUGGGAUUGCCAAUCUUCUUUAGGUUAUAUAGGUUAUAUUUUGAUAAAUAUUCUAUAGGUUAUAUUUUGAUAAAUGAUACUAAUAUAUGUUCCAAAAUUGUAUGAGAUUUCUAAUAUUCUAAUGUCUGAGUAUAUGCUAUCAGAAUUAAGGUUUUUAUGUUAAGUUAUUGUAAACCACAGAGAUUAUCAAACUUCUUUGUCAACUGUGUUUCUGACUAUAACUACCCUGGACAUUUUGUUAUUCAAAGACAAUUGUCUUGUUUAGAUCCUUUUCAAGAGAUAGUUUAUAAGAAGCUACAGAACUGUGACAGGUGCUCUCAAAUGCAGUUUUCCAAAUAACUUUGGAGAUCAUGACAUUGAAAUAAAGUAAAACAUACAAGACUCAUGAAGAGCUAAAAUGUUCACAAAUAUCAAGCAGAACAAGGGUUAACUAAAUGGACUGAACUAAUAGAAAACUGAAAUAAUUUUUUUUUACUUAUGCUUGGACCAUUGCUGAUUCUUGUUUUGUUUUUCAGAGUCAAGGAAACUUAUUUUGAGCUAUUUAUAACCUUUAAUAAUUGGGUAAGGUAUACUCCUGUGAACAAAAUUUGGAGCACAUUUGGUCUCUCUCUCUCUCUGCCUGGCUUCUCUAGAAUUUCAAAACUAGCUGUGAGUAUUCUUAACUUAUGACAAUAUAGUUGUUUGCAUCAGUGCAAUAAGAAUUCAUUUUUCUUUUGCAACAGGAUGCAACUGGAAAAACUUGUUGUUUCACCAAGGCUUUGACUGGAAGGGUACAUUUCCCUUUAAGGAGUUAAGCUUGACUUGCAGAGCUGAUAAAAGCCUCUUGGAAAAACUGGCCUUAUACCUUGUUACACAGUCCCCAAACAAGGUUCCUAACCAGCAGUGAGUAAAGAAUGUCACUUUCCAACAGGCCCAGGAAUCACGUGCUCUUGGGACCUCAAGAAGAGAGGAGUUUACCAACUCACAGGCCAUCAAACUCCAAACCAUCACGCAACCAGACUGGAGCCUCAAACCAUAACCUUUUUUGCCAGGAACCCUUUCAUAGGCCCCUGAGGGAGAUCAGACUGCUGUUUUCUGAAAACAGUACCCUCUGUCAGCAGGAAGCAGUUAAGAUUGGUCUUCAUCCUUAUCUUUAUUCUAACGGCAGUUAGAUGUACUUCUUUAGGUGCAAAAUGAUAGAUGCAGGAGGCAGAUGAGGGAACCUGCCCAGGGCAUUGUAUGUGUAUGCCUGCAAUGGACUAGGGACCCACCUGCACACUGGAAGAGUGGGGUGGAGCCACUGGAACAUUUACACUUUGUGCAGAAGGGAGGAGCCUGGCAUCUUCAGUUCCUGUGUGGUUGUCUGGUGUUCAAGAUUCCCUCUUGCUUUGCUGAGAGUUGUUUUUCCUUUUCACCCAAUAAAUUCUGCUGCUUAUCCAUCA